This 648-nucleotide ribosomal RNA is filed under the name uncultured bacterium. Its description in RNAcentral is "bacterial SSU rRNA". It matches the Rfam family "Bacterial small subunit ribosomal RNA", at positions 50 to 679 of the family's 1533-position model. The record is from RNAcentral.
UAUACAUGCAAGUCGAGCGGGGUUAGAUUUUCAAUAUCCUUCGGGGUAGCGAUUUUCUAACCUAGCGGCGGACGGGUGAGUAACGCGUGGGCAACCUGCCCUAAAGCCUGGGAUAACAGCGGGAAACCGCUGCUAAUACCGGAUAUCUUUACGAAGAGGCAUCUUUUAGUAAAGAAAGGGAAUGAAUGCUUGCAUUCAUUUUACGCUUUAGGAUGGGCCCGCGUCCCAUUAGCUAGUUGGUGAGGUAACGGCUCACCAAGGCAACGAUGGGUAGCCGGCCUGAGAGGGUGGACGGCCACACUGGGACUGAGACACGGCCCAGACUCCUACGGGAGGCAGCAGUGGGGAAUAUUGCACAAUGGAGGGAACUCUGAUGCAGCGACGCCGCGUGAGUGAUGAAGGCUUUCGAGUCGUAAAACUCUGUCCUUGGGGACGAUAAUGACGGUACCCAAGGAGGAAGCCCCGGCUAACUACGUGCCAGCAGCCGCGGUAAUACGUAGGGGGCGAGCGUUGUCCGGAAUUAUUGGGCGUAAAGGGUUCGCAGGCGGCCGAUUAAGUCAGAUGUGAAAUCCCACGGCUUAACCGUGGUAAGCAUUUGAAACUGAUUGGCUUGAGUUAAGGAGAGGAAAGUGGAAUUCCUAGUGUAGC